ACUAACUAAAAUAAUUUCAUUUCACUCAAAUAAUCAACAUGGCUUAUGAAUUUCUUAAGAAUUUGGCUCGUGCCAAAACUCAUUCUCAGGGAUACCUUGGUCGGGCCAUCCAACCGAGUCCACCAAGACUGUUAAAGAAAAGUUUAUAUACGCAUAAGACACAUUUUUACGUUUAAAAGCAUAGUCGUUCCUUGGCAUUGGCUGAGUUCACCCUCACGUGGUGGUUUAAUGUGUAGUGAACUCUAAAGAUUUACCUCAGGAGAUACCCUCUGCGCCUCUCGUACCGAGGUAAAAUAUAACCGGGUUUACCGUGCCUCUCUCUAAUAGGCUGGUCCACGGAAACCCGCCACUGCAGUGACUAAUCAAUAUCCCACCAAAUCAAUAAAAGUUUCGAUAGCAUGACAUGGAAAUUAUAUAACUAUCUAGUCUGUUAAGGCAAAACAAACAAUUCAUACAAUUUCAACACAAUUUCCAAUUCAGCCAUUCAUGCCAAUAUCACCAUAAGCCAUUCAAUUCAAACCAUAAAUUUACAACACAAUCAAACAGUCUUCAAUCACUCAAUUUCAAAAAUCAUCAUUCAAUUUCAAAAUGAUUUAUAAACUCAUUUCAUUUAAUCACAUUUUACUUAUAAAACAUAAGGAUUUACCAUUUAAACUCAUUUAAUCACAAAAACGAAUAAAAACUACUUUAGAUAAUUAAGACGAUAAUAAGGUUACUCACAAUAUCGGGAGUCAAAGUACUCCUAGUCCCGAUCUUUGGGUACAAUCUCCUUACCCUUAUCGAAAGUUUCACCACCUAAACAUAAUGCACAAUAAACAAUUUACUAUAUUUGUACUAAAUUGUUAUAAAACUAAUUUAGGCUCUAUAUGAAUGCAUGAAAUGGGAUGCAAAAUGUUCGGAU
Molecule: long non-coding RNA, 901 nt
Filed under: Theobroma cacao (cacao)
Lineage: Eukaryota; Viridiplantae; Streptophyta; Magnoliopsida; Malvales; Malvaceae
Description: long non-coding RNA (TCAC_LNC000263)
Source: RNAcentral